GACGAACGCUGGCGGCGUGCUUAACACAUGCAAGUCGAGCGGAAAGGCCCUUCGGGGUACUCGAGCGGCGAACGGGUGAGUAACACGUGAGUAACCUGCCCUAGGCUUUGGGAUAACCCCGGGAAACCGGGGCUAAUACCGGAUAUGACCUGGUGCCGCAUGGUGUUGGGUGGAAAGUUUUUUCGGCCUGGGAUGGGCUCGCGGCCUAUCAGCUUGUUGGUGGGGUGAUGGCCUACCAAGGCGAUGACGGGUAGCCGGCCUGAGAGGGCGACCGGCCACACUGGGACUGAGACACGGCCCAGACUCCUACGGGAGGCAGCAGUGGGGAAUAUUGCACAAUGGGCGGAAGCCUGAUGCAGCGACGCCGUGUGAGGGAUGAAGGCCUUCGGGUUGUAAACCUCUUUCAGCAGGGACGAAGCGUGAGCGACGGUACCUGCAGAAGAAGCGCCGGCCAACUACGUG
RNAcentral lists this ribosomal RNA (462 nucleotides) under uncultured bacterium. RNAcentral's name for it is "partial 16S ribosomal RNA". It matches the Rfam family "Bacterial small subunit ribosomal RNA", at positions 28 to 507 of the family's 1533-position model. The record is from RNAcentral.